This 67-nucleotide unclassified non-coding RNA is filed under the name Yersinia enterocolitica (type O:5,27) str. YE149/02. Lineage: Bacteria; Pseudomonadati; Pseudomonadota; Gammaproteobacteria; Enterobacterales; Yersiniaceae. The record is from RNAcentral.
UUGCUUCCAGUGUUUUUUAAGCCAGCUCGGGUGCUGGCUUUUUUUUUUGCCUGCCUACAGCCACCAU